AAAUAUAUUCCAAUCUCAUAUA
RNAcentral lists this small nuclear RNA (22 nucleotides) under Arabidopsis thaliana (thale cress). Its description in RNAcentral is "snRNA_00924". The record is from RNAcentral. Lineage: Eukaryota; Viridiplantae; Streptophyta; Magnoliopsida; Brassicales; Brassicaceae.